This is an RNA transcript of Fragaria vesca subsp. vesca, 5746 nucleotides long. RefSeq lists it as uncharacterized. The record is from RefSeq and is a predicted model, not a curated record. The transcript has 20 exons. NCBI's taxonomy places the organism in Eukaryota, Viridiplantae, Streptophyta, Magnoliopsida, Rosales, Rosaceae.
AUGGAUGUUUGCUCGAUGUCAAAAGAAGCAAUUGUAUGGUUGGACGCGUGUCAGCUGCGCUACUCCAAUAAGAAUUUCUCUGGCAGAUUAGAUAUGUCCAACUACAUUCUUCAAGUCAACAAACAGAAUAUUACAGAGUUUACAGACCCACAAAAGUUUAAGUCUGUUGUGAAUCAGAAGCUUAGCAAGCCCCCCAUGCAAGUGGCUGAUAAUGAUUCUUUCCCUAAUAAGAUGUAUGCGACUGGAGAAGAACGCCUUGGAGAUAAGGUGAUAUAUGCACUUGUCCAGUGCACUACCGAUUUAUCUGGAAGUGAUUGUGAUCAGUGCCUUCGGAACGCCACAAAAGAGGUUUUAAGAGAAUAUUUCUUCGCCAUGGGUGCAAGACUUUUCAGUCGUAAUUGUUAUCUGAGGUAUGAGUUAUACCCAUUCUACGAUGAUGCAACACAAGCUUCUAAGGGUGGACAGAAAUUUUGGUUGAUUACAACCCUUGUGAGCAUAUCAGCAUGCCUGGCUUUAGUACUUUUUGGUCUCUGUAUCUUUCUUGCAAUGAAAAGGAGAAACAGAAAAGGAAGGAACAACAUAAGAGCUCAGGAGUACCCCAAUAUCAGCUUUGCAUCUAUACUAGAAGCUACUUCCAAUUUCUCCGAGUCAAAUAAACUUGGGGAAGGCGGUUUUGGUCCUGUUUACAAGGGUAUCAUGAGUGAUGGAAAGGAAGUGGCGAUAAAGAGGCUUUCAUGCUGUUCCGAUCAAGGUCCAGAGGAAUUCACAACUGAGGUUCAACUGAUAAUGAAUCUUCAACAUAAAAAUCUUGUCCGGCUUUUGGGUUAUUGUGUAGAAGGAGAGGAAAAGCUUCUUGUCUAUGAGUACAUGCCAAAUAGCAGCCUAGAUGUCAUUCUUUUUGAUUCAAUGAAACGUGCACAACUUGAUUGGACCGGACGUAAAAACAUUAUUACUGGAAUUGCAAGGGGAAUUCUCUAUUUACAUGAGGACUCUCGCCUUAGAAUCAUCCACAGAGACCUGAAAGCUAGCAAUGUAUUGUUGGACAAUGAGAUGAACCCAAGGAUCUCAGAUUUUGGAAUGGCUAGGAUCUUUGCAGGAAGUGAAGGACAAGCUAACACUGCUAUUAUAGUUGGGACUUAUGGAUACAUGGCUCCAGAAUAUGCAAUGGAGGGACUAUAUUCUUUCAAGUCUGAUGUCUUUAGCUUUGGAGUACUCCUGCUUGAGAUAAUAACUGGGAGAAUGAACGCUGGCUUUCAUCGAACGACGCAUGCUAGCCUCCCAUCAUAUGCAUGGAAAUUAUGGAAUGAAGGAAAUGGACUGGAGCUAAUUGAUCCAUUGCUGGUUGGUUCGUGUGAUUCAGAUGAGUUUUUGAGAUAUCUUCAUAUUGGAUUGUUGUGUGUUCAAGAAGAUGCAUAUGACAGGCCAACCAUGUCUUCUGUUGUUGUAAAUUUGAAGAGUGAAACUGUAAAUCUUAGCCAACCUGGAAAACCUGCAUUCUCCAUUGGAACAUUCGUUGAUGUACAUAAUAAGGCUGGUGCUGUUAGUAGCUCUUAUAAUGGACUAACAGUUUCCAGCAUAGAACCACGAGAUCCACCUUCAGUUAUGGUUUUCAUAAUUAUACUACUUUUAAUGCCUACUACCAUUACUGGUGCAGAUCUUCUUUACAAAUAUUGUCCAGACACAACCCACGCUCGGUACAAUGCCGAUAGUCCAUUUGAAAAUAAUCUCAAGCUACUCCUUGAGUCAUUGUCUUCCAACACUUCAAUCUCUGAUGGUUUCUACAAUGACACGAUCGGCAAUAGCCCUGACCAAGUCUAUGGACAAGCACUUUGUAGAGGGGACGUGAACUCCACAGUUUGUCAGAGCUGUGUCCAUGAUGCAAGCCAGGAAAUCUUCAAGGGAUGUAAACAUCAAGAAGCAAUUAUCUGGUAUGAACUAUGUCAAGUUCACUAUUCCAAUAUCAUCUUUUUUUCAACGAUGGAAUAUUACGGAAAGUAUCCUGAGAAGAAUAAGCUGAAGAAGAAUGUAUCACAACCGAAUCAGUUUGUCAAUGUUUUGACAAAUUUAAUGACAAACCUCUUGGACCAGACUGCCUUUACUUCCAAGCGUAUGUUUGCAACCGGUGAUAUGAAAGUUUCAGGAAACCAAUCUAUUUAUGGCCUACAACAGUGCACCAGAGACAUUAUUAGAAGUGAGUGCCUUAACUGUUUAAAAUCUGCUCUUCCUGAGCUUCAGGGAUGCUGCUCUACUCACGAAGGUGGAACCAUUGUCAGCAGGAAUUGUAAUGUGAGGUUUGAGCUCUACCGAUUCUUCAACGAAGGUUAGGGACUUCUAAAUGUUCUGCUGUACAUGGAUCAAUACUGUUUAAUUUUAAUACAAUUAUGUAGAAUUAGUGGAUUACCAACUAAAAAUUAUUCUAACCGUGCUGCAGAUGAAGAAAGAAGCCAGCAUGGACUAUUACCUGAAUUAUUAAACCCCACUUCUGUGACAAUCAUAGAAGAAAACAAAAUGGUAAGUUCUGAAGAGCUGCCAUUCAUUGAUCUAGCUACUAUAAAGGAUGCUACAGAUGACUUUUCAGAUUCAAACAAGCUUGGACAAGGUGGAUUUGGUGCUGUUUACAAGGGUUGGCUAGAUGGGAAAGAAGUUGCGAUUAAAAGACUAUCAAGAAAGUCAUGGCAGGGCAUAGAGGAGUUUAGAAAUGAAGUCACUCUUAUUGCAAAGCUUCAGCACAGAAACCUGGUGCGGCUUUUAGCUUGUGGCUUUGGGGGAGAAGAAAAGCUGCUAUUGUACGAGUUCAUGCCAAAUAAAAGCCUUGAUACUUUUAUUUUUGAUUUGAAACGACGAGUUGAACUCAAUUGGCAAACAUAUCACAACAUCAUUGAAGGAAUCGCCAGAGGACUUCUGUAUCUUCAUGAGGAUUCCCGGCUUAAGAUCAUUCAUAGGGACUUGAAGCCCAGCAAUGUGUUGUUGGACCAUGAAAUGGUUCCAAAAAUAUCAGACUUUGGAAUGGCAAGGAUAUUUUGUGACAACCAGAACACUGCCAACACUACAAGAGUUGUAGGAACACAUGGCUACAUGGCACCGGAGUACGCAAUGGAGGGACUAUUCUCUGUAAAAUCUGAUGUUUUCAGCUUUGGAGUAGUCUUGCUUGAGAUUUUAAGUGGGAAAAAAAAUAGUGGUUUCUACCUCACAGAACAUGCCAAGACAUUGGUAGAAUACGCAUGGACACUAUGGAAGGAUGGAAAAGGGUCGGAGUUUGUGGAACCUCUGUUGAUGGAACGAUGCCCAAAAGAAGAGGUUUUGAAAUACUUGCAGAUUGCGCUUUUAUGUGUGCAAGAAGACCCUGAAGAAAGACCAACAAUGUCAGCUGUGGUUGUGUUGCUAGGAAAUGAUGACUCGAUUGGUCUUCCUGAACCAAAGAAACCGGCCAUCUUUGCAAUAGGUAGAGUUGCUCCAAUGACAAUGUCUACACAGAAUCCUAGCUCAAAUGGGCUUACCCUUUCCGGCAUUUCACCUAGAAACAAAAAAGCAAAAGCUACCAUGGCAGAACUGAUCCUUCUCUUCCUUUCAGUGCUCACCCUCCUAACCUUUCCGACUACAGAAGCAGCCGAGUACCUCGCCCAUUUCUGCCCCAACACCACCGUCUUCAGCCCAAACUCCACCUUCCAAUCCAACCUCAACCACCUCCUCUCCACUCUCUCCUCCAACUCCACACGCACCACCGGCUUCUACAACGCCACCGCCGGCCGUCCCCCAACCGAAACCGUCUACGGCCUCUUCCUCUGCCGCGGUGACGUCACCACCUCAGCAUGCAGAGCCUGCGUGGUCACAGCAACCUCGGAGAUUGUGCAGCCGGAGCGCUGCCCGGUUGAGAAAGAAGUCGUGAUAUGGUACGACGAGUGCAUGCUACGGUACUCCAACACGUCCUUCUUCUCCGUCGCCGACGAGUCUCCUGGCUUGUUAAUGUGGAACAACAACAACGUCAGCAGCGAGCCGAACCGGUUCAACCAGGUUUUGGGGGCGAGCAUGACGGAGGUGGCGGAGGAGGCCGCGAACGACGGCGAUAAGUUCGCGACAAGAGAGGCGAACUUCACGGGGUUGAUCAGCGUGUACAGCUUGGGGCAGUGCACGCAGGACUUGUCUAGUUUUGAUUGCAACCGGUUCUAAAGGGAGCCAUAGCGCAGUUGCCGGGUUGCUGCGGCGGAAAGUUAGGGGGGCGAGUUUUGUAUCCGAGUUGUAAUGUUAGGUUUGAAGUUUAUCCAUUUUAUCAGAUUAAGGCGUCAGCACCGGCGCCGGCGCCGGAGGUUCGGCAACUGCGCUAUGCUGUUCUUUAUGUAGGGAAAAGCAAAAUCUCCUGGAAAACGAUUGUGGCAAUUGUCGUGCCAAUUGCGGUUUCUUUGGUGCUUUUUGUGAUUGGCUACUGCCUCAUUUGUAAGAGGGCAAGAAAGAAGUACAAUGUUGUAUCAGAACUAAAUGGUGAAAAUGACAUUAGUAGUGCAGAUUCUUUGCAAUUUGAUUUUGGUACCAUUGGAGCCGCUACAAACAAUUUCUCUGAUGAGAAUAAGUUAGGUGAAGGUGGAUUUGGUCAAGUCUACAAGGGUUUGCUUUCAAAUGGGCAAGAAAUAGCUGUCAAGAGGCUAUCAAGGAACUCUGGCCAGGGUACUGAAGAAUUUAAGAAUGAGAUGGUACUGGUAGCCAAGCUGCAACACAGAAAUCUAGUUAGGCUAUUGGGAUUUUGCUUGGAAGGGGAAGAAAAGAUGCUUGUUUAUGAAUACGUCCCCAACAAAAGCCUCGACUAUAUUCUAUUUGACCCUGAGAAACAAGGACAACUGGAUUGGCCGAGACGUUACAAAAUUAUUGCAGGAAUUGCCCGAGGAAUUAUGUAUCUACAUGAAGACUCCCGGCUGAGAAUUAUACAUAGUGAUCUCAAAGCCAGCAAUAUAUUGUUAGAUAGGGACAUGCAUCCAAAAAUAUCUGAUUUUGGCAUGGCCAGGAUUUUUGGCGUUGACCAAACACAAGCAAACACAAAUAGAAUUGUUGGAACUUAUGGUUACAUGGCUCCAGAAUAUGCAAUGCAUGGACAAUUUUCUGUCAAGUCCGAUCUCUAUAGUUUUGGUGUCUUGGUUCUUGAAAUCAUCAGUGGCAAGAAGAAUAAUUACUACUUCCAAACGGAUGCAGCUGAGGACCUCGUCAGCCAUGCUUGGAAACUAUGGAGAGAUGGAACACCUUUAGAAUUGUUGGAUCCGUGUCUGAUAGAUUCUUGUACUAGAAAUGAAGUUAUCAGAUGUAUCCACAUUGGCUUACUUUGUGUUCAGGAAGAUCCAGCUGACAGACCUACAAUGCAAUCACUAGUUCUCAUGCUCAACAGCUACUCUGUUACUCUUCCAUUACCUCAAGAGCCAGCAUUUUUCCAUAAGACUAGAUCGGAGUUUAUGCCAAAGAUGCUGCUGGAUCAGUCUAUCAGCAAGUCAAGUCCAUCAGUUUUUGAUGGAUCUAUCACUGAAGUAUAUCCUCGAUAAGAGUAAGUAAUUUAGGCACCCUUUAUGAUGUUGUAAUAUCUGUUUUUGUUUUCUACAAGGAUGAAACUGGAAUUAGUUGCGGCAUACUUUUAUUAUUAGGAUGUGCAUGUUCUUUAAAUUCUGGAAAUCAAUAACCAAAGAUGUAAAAUUCCUCGCUGGUAAUAGCCUACCCCUUGUGUAGUUCUGUUCACAUUGAUGAAUGACUAGCUGAAGCUAUGAAUUUAAUU